Non-coding RNA from Oryctolagus cuniculus (rabbit), 318 nucleotides. Lineage: Eukaryota; Metazoa; Chordata; Mammalia; Lagomorpha; Leporidae. The record is from RefSeq and is a predicted model, not a curated record.
CCCAAGUCAGCUUUUUAAACAAACUUUCUUAUCAGAACUACCUUUUGAAAGCAUGCCACCAGUGACUUAAGGACAUCUCACUAAGCCACAUCCUAAACACCAUAAUUGUGGAUAAUAUGAUGCUGAAAUCAAUCAACUUUGGAAAAAAACUAAACCUACGAACAUAGAAACCAUAUUGAAGUGAACAAAGAGCAUAUUCCUGAUUAGAACUGAGUGAACAAAUGAGAGAAAUCUUCAAAGUCAUUGCUUAAAGCUUCAAACACAAUCAACAGUUAAGGUAACUAUAAAUCCCAAGGAGUGGGAUGGCUGGGUCGAAAG